AGCGGCAGAAGGUGGAACAAGUAUACAACGCCCUCGCCUUUUACUAGGGCGUUCCGUGUUCUGCCCUCUGUUCAAAUGCCGCUUGCCAAUUUUUCAGAUGUUCCUAUGCCUUUGGGUCU
This 119-nucleotide small nuclear RNA is filed under the name Jaapia argillacea MUCL 33604. RNAcentral describes it as "U5 spliceosomal RNA". It matches the Rfam family "U5 spliceosomal RNA". From Rfam's summary of the family: U5 RNA is a component of both types of known spliceosome. The record is from Rfam by way of RNAcentral. Lineage: Eukaryota; Fungi; Basidiomycota; Agaricomycetes; Jaapiales; Jaapiaceae.